RNAcentral lists this ribosomal RNA (1961 nucleotides) under Odoribacter splanchnicus. RNAcentral describes it as "partial 23S ribosomal RNA". It matches the Rfam family "Bacterial large subunit ribosomal RNA", at positions 1 to 1955 of the family's 2925-position model. The record is from RNAcentral. Lineage: Bacteria; Pseudomonadati; Bacteroidota; Bacteroidia; Bacteroidales; Odoribacteraceae.
CGGUUAAGUUAGAAAGGGCGCACGGUGGAUGCCUUGGCACUAGGAGCCGAUGAAGGACGGGACGAACACCGAUAUGCUUCGGGGAGCUGUAAGCAAGCUUUGAUCCGGAGAUUUCCGAAUGGGGAAACCCACCACUCGUAAUGGAGUGGUAUCCAUAUCUGAAUACAUAGGAUAUGAGAAGGCAGACCCGGGGAACUGAAACAUCUAAGUACCCGGAGGAAGAGAAAGCAAAUGCGAUUCCCUGAGUAGCGGCGAGCGAAACGGGACCAGCCCAAACCAAGAGGCUUGCCUCUUGGGGUUGUAGGACACUCUGUACGGAGUUACAAAGGAACGAGGUAGAUGAAGAGGUCUGGAAAGGCCCGCCAUAGAAGGUAACAGCCCUGUAGUCAAAACUUCGUUCUCUCCUGAGUGGAUCCUGAGUACGGCGGAACACGUGAAAUUCCGUCGGAAUCCGGGAGGACCAUCUCCCAAGGCUAAAUACUCCCUAGUGACCGAUAGUGAACCAGUACCGUGAGGGAAAGGUGAAAAGCACCCCGGAAGGGGAGUGAAAGAGAUCCUGAAACCGUGUGCCUACAAGUAGUCAGAGCCCGUUAACGGGUGAUGGCGUGCCUUUUGUAGAAUGAACCGGCGAGUUACGAUCCCGUGCAAGGUUAAGCAGAAGAUGCGGAGCCGCAGCGAAAGCGAGUCUGAAUAGGGCGAAUUGAGUACGUGGUCGUAGACCCGAAACCAGGUGAUCUACCCAUGUCCAGGGUGAAGUUCAGGUAACACUGAAUGGAGGCCCGAACCCACGCACGUUGAAAAGUGCGGGGAUGAGGUGUGGGUAGGGGUGAAAUGCCAAUCGAACCUGGAGAUAGCUGGUUCUCUCCGAAAUAGCUUUAGGGCUAGCCUCAAGGUAAGAGUCUCGGAGGUAGAGCACUGAUUGGACUAGGGGCCCCUACCGGGUUACCGAAUUCAGUCAAACUCCGAAUGCCGAUGACUUAUCCUUGGGAGUCAGACUGCGAGUGAUAAGAUCCGUAGUCGAAAGGGAAACAGCCCAGACCGCCAGCUAAGGUCCCAAAGUAUACGUUAAGUGGAAAAGGAUGUGGAGUUGCUUAGACAACCAGGAUGUUGGCUUAGAAGCAGCCACCAUUUAAAGAGUGCGUAAUAGCUCACUGGUCGAGUGACUCUGCGCCGAAAAUGUACCGGGGCUAAACGUAUCACCGAAGCUGCGGACUGUUCUUCGAACAGUGGUAGGAGAGCGUUCUAAGGGCUGUGAAGCAAGACCGGAAGGACUUGUGGAGCGCUUAGAAGUGAGAAUGCCGGUAUGAGUAGCGAAAGAGGGGUGAGAAUCCCCUCCACCGAAUGCCUAAGGUUUCCUGAGGAAGGCUCGUCCGCUCAGGGUUAGUCGGGACCUAAGCCGAGGCCGAAAGGCGUAGGCGAUGGAUAACAGGUUGAUAUUCCUGUACCACCUCCUCACCAUUUGAGCAAUGGGGGGACGCAGGAGGAUAGGGUAAGCGCGGUAUUGGAUAUCCGCGUCCAAGCAGUUAGGCUGGGAAAUAGGCAAAUCCGUUUCCCGUGAAGGCUGAGCUGUGAUGGCGAGCGAAUUAUAGUAGCGAAGUUCCUGAUUCCACACUGCCAAGAAAAGCCUCUAGCGAGGUGAGAGGUGCCCGUACCGCAAACCGACACAGGUAGGCGAGGAGAGAAUCCUAAGGUGAUCGAGAGAACUCUCGUUAAGGAACUCGGCAAAAUGACCCCGUAACUUCGGGAGAAGGGGUGCUCUGUUAGGGUGCAAGCCCGAGAGAGCCGCAGUGAAUAGGCCCAGGCGACUGUUUAGCAAAAACACAGGUCUCUGCGAAGCCGUAAGGCGAAGUAUAGGGGCUGACGCCUGCCCGGUGCUGGAAGGUUAAGAGGAGCGCUUAGCGUAAGCGAAGGUGCGAAUUGAAGCCCCAGUAAACGGCGGCCGUAACUAUAACGGUCCUAAG